UUUUGGAGAAAAUCAGAUAGUUAUUUAUUAAAAAUUAUGUUAUCAAUUAUCAACACUGCAAGAUCAAAAACUCUAAUAUGUUGAAAAAAGAAAAAAGCUGCUACUCAUAUAACCAUAAGCUGAGGAUAUCCUAACGCUGGAUGGGGAGACAAUGGAGACAACGGCAUUGUCCCUUUCAAAUCAACACAAUCCCAAACCGCCGUCCAGCUCGACGGCGUCAACGCAACAUCCCUCUCCGCUUCUUCUAGCUUCACCACCUUCUUCGUUUCUCCCUCUACAAUCUCGCUUUCUCUGGGUCGUUUCCGUUCGUUUCUGUCGUUGACGCAUGUGUUCAACUUCCCAGCUUCCAAAGGAAAGUUGAGAAUGGCCUUGGAGCCGCGCAGCUUGAACGCUGCUCGAUCGUAGGCUUUGGCGGCUUCGAUAGCCGUGUCGAAGGUCCCAAGCCAUACACGUGAGCCCUUCCGGUUCGGAUCUCGGAUCUCCGCUGCAUAUUUGCCCCACGGCCUCUGUCGGACUCCUCUAUAAUGCCUUUUCUCUUCAACAGCUAAGUUGAUUUGGUCCGAUUGUUGGUUCGGGUUAGCAAAUUGAAUCCAUUCGGUUUUUUUAGGGACUGAAAUUUUCAGAGAUGGCUUUCGAUUUACUUGAGAGCUUGAAUUUGCAGAAGCUACUUGAGGCUUUGAUUCGAAGUUGAAGAAAUCAUCAUUGGGUUGAGAAAGCGGUUUUGAUUCAAAUACGAAAUUCUCUAGAACUUGGAUUUGAGGUUUUGAUUCAAAGUCGAAGAACUCGUUACUUGGUUGAGAGAAAAGUUGAGGUUUUGAAUCAAAUUCAAAACUGGAGGUUGAAUCACUGGAUUUUGCGGUAGUGAGAGGGAUGAUUUGAGGUUUAGCUUCGAAUUCAAAAAAAUCAUCAUCAAUAUUGUCAAAGUUAAAGUAAUCAUCGAUUGAGAAGGCAGAGUCAGAGCUGGAAGCCCGGGAGCAGUCAGACACAGACUGAGA
This 995-nucleotide unclassified non-coding RNA is filed under the name Hevea brasiliensis (rubber tree). Lineage: Eukaryota; Viridiplantae; Streptophyta; Magnoliopsida; Malpighiales; Euphorbiaceae. The record is from RNAcentral.